This 570-nucleotide ribosomal RNA is filed under the name Ectophoma pomi. RNAcentral's name for it is "eukaryotic LSU rRNA". It matches the Rfam family "Eukaryotic large subunit ribosomal RNA", at positions 38 to 623 of the family's 3401-position model. Lineage: Eukaryota; Fungi; Ascomycota; Dothideomycetes; Pleosporales; Didymellaceae. The record is from RNAcentral.
GCAUAUCAAUAAGCGGAGGAAAAGAAACCAACAGGGAUUGCCCUAGUAACGGCGAGUGAAGCGGCAACAGCUCAAAUUUGAAAUCUGGCGUCUUCGGCGUCCGAGUUGUAAUUUGCAGAGGGCGCUUUGGCAUUGGCAGCGGUCCAAGUUCCUUGGAACAGGACGUCACAGAGGGUGAGAAUCCCGUACGUGGUCGCUAGCCUUUACCGUGUAAAGCCCCUUCGACGAGUCGAGUUGUUUGGGAAUGCAGCUCUAAAUGGGAGGUAAAUUUCUUCUAAAGCUAAAUACUGGCCAGAGACCGAUAGCGCACAAGUAGAGUGAUCGAAAGAUGAAAAGCACUUUGGAAAGAGAGUUAAAAAGCACGUGAAAUUGUUGAAAGGGAAGCGCUUGCAGCCAGACUUGCCUGUAGUUGCUCAUCCGGGUUUCUACCCGGUGCACUCUUCUAUAGGCAGGCCAGCAUCAGUUUGGGCGGUUGGAUAAAGGUCUCUGUCAUGUACCUCCUUUCGGGGAGAACUUAUAGGGGAGACGACAUGCAACCAGCCCGGACUGAGGUCCGCGCAUCUGCUAGGA